This 4602-nucleotide long non-coding RNA is filed under the name Mytilus galloprovincialis (Mediterranean mussel). The record is from RNAcentral. Lineage: Eukaryota; Metazoa; Mollusca; Bivalvia; Mytilida; Mytilidae.
AAUAGUACCAAUUAUAUCUAGGUAAUUUUCAAUAAAGAACAUUUUAAUUUAUACACAAAUGAUAUAUUUUUUUCAGAAAUUGUAUUGGUCAGCAUUUUGCCAUGAAUGAACAAAAGGUUGUACUUGCCAGACUUCUACAAAAGUAAGAAUACAUUAGAAGUCCCAGUUGUCAUACAUUCUUCUUUAAAACAGACUGACAAGGUUAAACUAACUGGGAAUGUAUGAAACCACAAUCUCAUAUUUGUUGCUACAAUGUUUUAUAAUUUGGUAACAUAUACAAGUUAGAAAGAGAUGUACUAUACACAAAAAUACAACAGCAUCCCAAUAAUUCAAGUUACCAAAAUAUAUAGAGAGGUCAAAGUUCAUUCAACAAUAAACAAAUGUUAAUAAUAUUUCAAGCUCUAAAUCUCAAGCCUAACCAAGCAUCAUUGUUUACUUCUUCAGGGAUGAGAAAAUCGGUAUAUUUUUCAAGAGGAGAUAACUUUCACAAAGGUGCUAAAUUCCAGGGAUGCUGCAAAUCAACUAAGUUAAACACUUCUCUAGGUCAAAUGAUGUUCUAAGGUCACACUAUAUUAUCCACAACUGGCUUACUCACUUUUUUUUUUUUGAUGGCAUGCUACACAUUAUAGUACUAAUGUACAUUCGCUUCUCCUCAAAAGUCUUUAAUUAUAAUUUUAUUGGAAAAUGACGCAGUCAUUGUUCUAUAACUGGCGACCUGAACUUCAUUACAUUUCUCUGCCUACCGCGCUUGGUUUCGUAUUUACUAUUUUCUAUACAAACUGGAAUUUGUUAUCAUUAUGCAUGAGAGGUCAUUGUGUAGUAAUCAGCCAGGAACCAGUUUACAAACUAACUGGUUUCUGCUUGUAUUCCACUACACUCGAACAAAGUGUUGUAGUUUGACGGGAACCAGUUUAGAAUUUGUAAACUACAAAACGUAAUCGGUUAUGUUCAUUCCGUUUUGGUGUUCAUACCGACUUUAUGGUUUGAAAAGCUUAAGACCCUUCAAACAUUAAUGUGAUAGGUAUUAAAGACUGUUUUACAAAAGGAUGGAACAGUUUUGCUUUUCAAAGUCGACUAUAGUGAUAUCUGUAUGUACGGAUUUCACUUCACCGGUUAAUUUCUUCUUUUACACGUGCUUUGAAACUUCCUGUUUAAACAUCGCAAGUUUUAAAAUUGUUUUUUGGAUGAAUUUAACUUAUUUUAACAAUCAUGAAGCGUUCCAGAAUCAUUUUCAAGCAGUUUCUUCUUCUCUUUGAUGAUGGAAAUAGGUUUUUCUCAAGAAAUACCGCAAACGAUCGCAGAGGAAUUGAAACGACAAGUCAAGUCGGCACCUGGUUAAAUUGGCAUCUAGUCAAAUCGGCACCUAUUUGACUCAAUUCGGCAUCCAAUAAUAUUUGUUAUAAUAUUUUCUAUUCAAUUAAUUAUAACUGUUACCAAGUACAUAGUGAAUAUGUUGUUGUGUAUAAAGGUAAACAACGAAGCCCUUACCCAAGCUGUUGUUUUAACAAGGAUUUGUAUACAAAUCCUUGGUUUUAACAAUUAGACAAUUAUUAAAAUAAAAUGGAAAACUAUGAGUCCCUUUCAAUAAACAACUUUCAUGCCAAAUAAUAAGCAAAUUUAAGGUGUUUUUUUUUCAGUAAAGUUUAAAAAGCAUUAAACAAACAAUCCUGUAAAAUGCUCAACUGGUUUAAAUAAUGCAUAAACAUAUCCAAUAUCUCAUGUAUUUAGUCCAAAUAAUUAUGACAUCUGGCAAGGCUAUUUAUUUUUUUUCUGUGAUGUCUUCCUAUGAAGUUCGUAGGAAGCUCCCAGAAAAAAAUUAACAUAGCCUUGCGGUCAUAGAAAGGUGUCCCAGAAUACAAUUUAAAAAGCCUUGCAGAAGUAAUUAUUUGACUACUCAUAUAUAUAUCAUUAAAAUACACCAAAAAAGUCAUUAAGUGAGAAAAAUAAAUAUAUACAAAAUGUACAUGAACACCAAAAAUGUGAAAGUAGUAUUUAACUCUUUUGCUUAAAUACUGAAAAAAAAUCUGCAACCCCUUACUUAUUUUUUACUCUUUUUGCUUAAAAUACUGUUAAAUUUUAAUUUACAUGGGUGACGAAUUGACUAAAUCAGUGUCGAUUUAACCAGGUGCGAUUUGUCCAGGUGCCAAUUUAACCAGUGCCGGUUGACUAGAAUUUGACAAAUGUUUGAAAUUACCUGAGUUUCAUUAGAUCUUUGAUAACAGUAACAAAAAGAUUAUUUACUUAAUAUUUUGUGGGAGAAGGGGGUUCAGACUAUGUGGUAUCAGGUCUGUUCGCGCCAAUACAUUCGCACCCUACACGUUCGCACCUCGCACGUUCGCCACCCAAGGUCCGUUUGCACUCUACUCAUCGCGCCCAAUUUAAUUCAAAUUCAAGUUGAAUAAUUGGAAAUCAUGAUUGUUGUUUAAAUGCUUUGGUGUAAAAUACUGAAUGUAUUAUAGCUUGGUAUGAGUAAAACAUUGAAGAUUUUUUAAGAAAAAACAAAAGAUAAUUGUUUUUAACAGCUUGGUCCCUUUGAUCUGAAACAACGAAACAAUAAAAUAUAGGAACCAAAAUAUAGCAAUCACUAUAUAACCAAAACAUGAUAAAAUCUAUUCAACACACAGAAAAAAACAUAGUCAGAAUCUACUUCAUUUUGAAGAAGUCAUGAAAAAAGUUAUAGCAAUACACUAACAAAACAUGAUUUAGAGUUAUUCAACACAAAAUAAAACGUUGACAAAAUACCACUUUAUUUAGAAAGGAUUAUUAUAAGUUUUACAAUACGCUAUCUAAAACAUGAUUAAGAUUUAUUCACACAAAAAAAAUGCUGUCUCACUUUAUUUUGAGACAAUGACAACAAUUAUAUUAUAAGAAAACACUUGCUUACAGAGUUAUUAAACACAAAACCAAUUAAGAUUGGGUGCGAACAUGUAAGGUGUGAAAGUGAAAGGGGCGAACAUGAGUGGGCGCGAACGGACCCGGAUUCAGACUACCGUAUGUACCAGUGAGAAAUAUACAAGCCUUUUCUACGGUAUUUAUUUGUACAAUUCAGGUAGUCUGACCUAUCAUUGUCUAAAAACAGCCAGUUUGCCACCUUCACUUCACACACACACACACAUAUACGAAUAUCAAUUAUAUGCGUUACGAGACAUGUUGCAUUGUUAAACUAAUUACGGUAUGUGAAAAUCAAGACUUGCAAAAAACUAUCCCAAUUAGAGACAGUGGCGUCAUUUUUCUUCAGAGCUUUCAGCUCUUUGAUUUAAGCUUUCUUAGAACCCUUACUAUAUAAUGCCAUUUUGGAUUUUUUGUGGUUUCUGGCCUGAAUGAUUUCUACAACUUGAUAAUCUGUUUUCUAGGUUUACUUUUCAACCAGAUCCAGACUGUCUGGUGAAGAAAAAGAUUGGAGUUGUAAUGCGAGCUGAAAAUGGAAUAAAACUGUUAGCACAUCCGAGGUCUUAAAGAUCUGAAAAAUAAUGUAGUUUGUUAUUAUCUGAUUUUUACUUCUUUUUUAUUGGAAUUAUUUCUUGUAAUUUGUUAUUUUCACAUUCAUUUGUUAUGAUUAGAUUUUAAGAAUAAUUUCUGGAUUACUUUAUUAUUUAUAUGCUUAGUAACCAGAAGUGUGGACAUUUUGUAUAAAGGCCUGUGAUAACAUGUUUCUAGGUUAUUUAUAUGAUACAUGAUCAUAACUGUGCAGGUCAUGUCUGGGUUUCUUAAAAAAAAGACGUAAGCCAUGAACAAUUCAAUAUACUAAUGCUCAAUUUUAGUUCAAGGAUUUUUCUUUUGUGAAACUCCGUCCCAGGCCUGAUGUUUGUGAUCUUUUAACCUGAUGUCCUCCCAUUAAUUCUAUUGUCAAAUAUUCAACUUACCUGAAUGAUGGAGAUUUCAUAUCAAUAAUUGUUGAUAAUGAACCAAAUGUCAAUCAGACAUAGUUUAACUUAUUUGACAACAUUUUUUGUCAGAUUGUUCAAGGGGUGCUAGGGAUGGGUAGGAAGUCACUUGACAUAAAUAACUGUGAUAUAUAGUUGGUUGUAUUUUAGAUGAUAAAGGUUUUACAAAUAUAUUGAAUUUUAAAAAAUUGUAUUUCAUGUGUUAAUGGGAGUAUUGUGAAUAUGUCUAGAUGUCAGAAGGACAUUCUAGUUAAAAAUCAUUUAUCUUAUUUUAAACUUUCAACAAUAAGUUUGCAUACAAAAUAAAUUAUGACUUGUGUGAUGGUUUGCUGUAACUGUAAAGUAAUUAAAAAUUAAUAUUUUAUACUGUACUAUCUAAUGAAUUACGAAUGUGAUAAUGUUUUAUUGUGAGAAAAGUCAAAGUGGACAGAAAACAAUCAGAUUUAAUUAGAAUGAAUUUUAGAUAAGCAUGGUGUACCAAAUUAUCUUUCAUUGGUGGUUAUUAUUAACACCGACUUUGAAAUUGAAUAAAUUUACAAAUGAUAUUAAAAAUAAUAGUAUGAUUGUUGUUAUAUUUAAUUUUAAAAAUUAUAUCAAGGACAUUGUUCAUAAAUUUCCUAAGAUUUUGUAAUCACUUUUCCAGGAUUAAUUUGUUUAAUUAUAUGUUGUUAUGGAAAAGAAAAGAAAAACACUCCUUUUAAUUUCUAUGCAAGACCAA